AAAAAGAUAAAUCCUGGAUUUCCGUGUCAACGUUUAACUAUCCGUCUUAUAUGAAUUUUUUUAUAAUUAGUAUUUUCAUUGUUGUUAGAUGAUAAAAUAUGAUUAAUAUUUUAUGCGUAACUUGUCUUUUUAAUUUUUUUUAUAUUUUUUUUAAAUAAGACGGACGAUUAAACGUUGUGCACGAAAACUCAUGGUUUAUCUUUUU
MicroRNA precursor from Oryza sativa Indica Group (long-grained rice), 205 nucleotides. It matches the Rfam family "MIR812 microRNA precursor family". NCBI's taxonomy places the organism in Eukaryota, Viridiplantae, Streptophyta, Magnoliopsida, Poales, Poaceae. The record is from Rfam.